Molecule: ribosomal RNA, 429 nt
Filed under: Actinomycetes bacterium
Lineage: Bacteria; Bacillati; Actinomycetota; Actinomycetes
Description: Actinobacteria bacterium partial 16S ribosomal RNA
Rfam family: Bacterial small subunit ribosomal RNA
Source: RNAcentral
UAGGGAAUCUUCCGCAAUGGGCGAAAGCCUAACGGAGCAACGCCGCGUGAGUGAUGAAGGUCUUCGGAUCGUAAAACUCUGUUAUUAGGGAAGAACAAAUGUGUAAGUAACUAUGCACGUCUUGACGGUACCUAAUCAGAAAGACACGGCUAACUACGUGCCAGCAGCCGCGGUAAUACGUAGGUGGCAAGCGUUAUCCGGAAUUAUUGGGCGUAAAGCGCGCGUAGGCGGUUUUUUAAGUCUGAUGUGAAAGCCCACGGCUCAACCGUGGAGGGUCAUUGGAAACUGGAAAACUUGAGUGCAGAAGAGGAAAGUGGAAUUCCAUGUGUAGCGGUGAAAUGCGCAGAGAUAUGGAGGAACACCAGUGGCGAAGGCGACUUUCUGGUCUGUAACUGACGCUGAUGUGCGAAAGCGUGGGGAUCAAACAGG